UUUUUUUUUGGAUGUCUUUCAAUGUCAUAUUUAACAUGAUAUUAUAAUUAUCAGCAGAUUACUUUUCAACCAUUCUAAACAAUGCUGACACCCCAAUGGCGGUCACUAAUAAAGGCCUGAAAUGAACACGUCAGCACCAAUUCAGUGACUUGUUAUGUAACACACUUUAUACCUGCAGGAAGUAAAAAGCAACAAAGCUUCAUAUAAUAAGUUUUGGCUUUGCAAAAUCAAAAUGUCUCACACAGACCUAAAACAGUGUACUAAAUUCGACAUUGAGAUGAUCAGAGUGGAAAAUUCAUAACAUGGGCUAUAAUAACAACUGAUUUCCAUAAUGGAAAAAAAGAAUGUCUGAGUUAAAGAUAUUUUUAAAUGAUGCCUCUCAGCAAAUAGUAUACAUGACUCAAAAGGAGGUUGCUGCUUAUCAGAUAAAGUUCACUGUUAUAGGCAAUGUUCAGAUAAACUUCAAAACUAGCACUGCAUUGCGUAAUUGGUAGAGCAGACAAAUGGACAAAAAUAGUUCUCCUCUUCUUCUCCACUUCUAUGUUCAAAAUGAGACUGUUUUCGUGUAGCCUAACUAAGGUUUGUUUUCUUUUCUUCUUUCAUUUACACUUGCUUUAUUUGUUUCCCUAUUCCAUCCUUUCAUACCUGGCAAAAGACUUAAUUUACAAACCUGCUAAUAAAUGUUAUUAAACAAAAGUUUAAUAUGGUAGGACAUGAGCUGCUAGUGACUUUGCUUGAAACUUACCUCAGUGCUGCAACAGCAUUUAGUGUUAUAAUAACAGAUAUAAGUUUACCACAGAAAAGCAUUGAAUUAGUGCCUGUGCCAUGUGUUCUUUUUACUGUGUUGUAGUUGUGAAAUAAGAUAAAACAUCACAAGCAAAAGCACCUACAGUUGGUCAAAGGUGAAACAAGGCGCAACGCAUUGCAUCCUCUUCUAGGCAUGUUAACUCAAGAACAAACUGCCAAAGACAGCAAAACAACCAUGCACUGCUAUGACAUGACAAAAAAAUUAAACAUGAUAUAAGAUAACAUUGUCUAUCUCUACCUAUUUCUCUCCUGUUCUGUCUCUCUCUCCUACUCUUCUUUUUUUUUUCCUCAGUCUCUCUGGAACUUUCCCCUCUGCUGUGAUGAGUGGAGGCUCUGCUUCAUACCAACAGGGCAUUUGCUUUCACAUCCUGUCCUGCUCUAAUUUUCAUCAUAGUCGACUGGAAUAAAGAGUCAACAUUACGCCAAGCCAACAUUAUGAAUGGUGAAUAACUAACCACACUGCUAGUCCAACUCAGUUGUACUGGCUUCUACUAUGUGAAGAAAAUGUAUUCAAAUAAAUCUGAGUGGGGCCUAUUCUUCAAACUUUCUGUAUAUCCAGAUGUGUGUCAAGAAACAAUUAUGCAAUAAUUGCAAUGUUGAUGGUGUUAAAUUAACUGCUACAUAAUUUUUCAUUGCCAAUUCACACCCAUUAUUUGGUUCUCCCCUGCCACACAACCAACCAGAGAGGGUGAAUAGAGGCUAACACAAGACAUUCUAAGAUAUAUGAAACCAGACAUUGCAUCUUUUUAAACUGCUGCUCAUGCUACACUAUGUCAAAGGACAGCUGAACUCAGAGUAAGGCACGAACUGCCCUUUCCACAUGCAUAAGCUCACAGACACCCACAAUCAGUUAGCAUUGCUCUGAUCAACAGGGGAGAGACUAAGGCCAUCAUUCCCACAUAGAGAGCACAACCAAAUAUGCUCUUUUGGCCUCAUGGACAUAGAUGGCUAUGGCAUUGUUGAGAUUCAAACUUGAAAUCUCCCAAUGACUGGGUGAAACUUUGCUGUUUUGCUGUAAUCAUAAACUGUUUGACUUAUUUAACGUUGAUAUAAGGCCAUGAUAGAGGAUUGCGAGUGUAAAAACACAUGCCAAAAAAGCUGCAAGACGAUUUGAUAUGGAGAAGUUCAACAUUCAUAAGAGCAAACUAGCACAUCUUGUUGAUUUGCAUGUUUACCUUAAUAAAUAUGCAGAAACGUGCAUAAUACACGGUGGUGUAUGCAAAUAGAUUAAAAUUUAGCAUCCACAGUGUGAUUUAGCACAGCCUGAAAUUCACUUCACGAAUGGUGAUUGCAUGCACAAAUGAAUAAAACCAAAGGACAGGCAUUAAAUUAGCAUAAGCCUGUUGUAAUCAACUGAGGUCUAAAUGAAACCAUUAUUUAAUUAAGGUUUAUCAGAAUUAUGCCUCGGGAUUGAAGAAAAGGGGGAGAUUUUUCAAAAUUAUGACUUCAUAUUAAUGUGCAUGUUUAUCUCUCUGUGUGUGUGUGUGUGUGUGUGUGUGUGUGUGUGUAUCUAGAGAGAUAGACACUGUCACAGAAAAAUGAAGACAGAAGAUGUAUCAACUUCAACUAUUUUUAGCCCUCUGGUUGUCACUGCUUCCUAAGGUGAGGAAACACAGGCAUAUCUAUCUAUUCACAAAAAUCACUUUUCAAAUUUGAACCAUAUAGAACCAUCCAAUGUAAGAGAGAUUCUGGAUGACUUGGAUAGGAUUUAUACUGUGUUAUAUGUGGACAUACGAUUAGUUCUUACACCAGCUUUAAAUAUGUGCUAAUGGUCACUGAGACACCCAAGGUGAGUGGUUUUGUUCUUGUUCAGUGUAAUCCUCUAUAUUUAUGGAUACUGCAUGCAACAGAUGUCAACAACUGCACUGCAAAACAUGAUGAUUCAAUAAAAGAUAAAAUGUCUUGGAGGAAGGAACAAGAAAGGGUGCAAAUCCUGGAAUUCUUUUAUUUCUUUCCUUCUACACAGUAAAUGAAACUGUGGAUAUGAAAAGCAGCAUAUGCUGGAGAGGCCAGACAGCCAUCAAUGCAGCUAUGCAGAUACAUUACACUAAUCAGAUACACAUCCACGGUAGUUAGGGUCAAUCCAGAGGGAACCAGGGACUGUAAAGUGAUUAUGAUGAGGAAGAGAAAGAGGAUGGGUGAGGAUACACAUAAUAAAAUGUGCUAUAUAUGAUACAGUUUCUCAUGUACUGUUACAGAAAAUAGCUUAACAAACUUAUCAAGAAAUCAAGUUAGAAUAAACUUGGUUCAUAUGUAUGUAUGUAUGUCUGUAUGUAUGUAUGUGUGUGUGCGUGUGUGUGUGCGCGUGAAUAAAUGUAAAAAAAGAAAAUUAAAUGGAACGACCAGUACACAAGCACACAAUAUAUCAUUUCAAACUCAAACACACGACCAUGCAACUGUCUGCUUUUUAAAGUAAAGUUCAUGUGAAUUUUAGUGCUAUGUGGGCUGCCAGUUAUAUUUCAGUGAACAGAAUGUAGUUGUGGUGAUGCUUUAUUGCGUCUUAUAUUGUACAGCCUAAAAUGUCACUCAGCUCUUUUUCUCCCCGACUUUAUACUCAUGAAUGUGCACCCAUCCUGUAUGUGCUUACACCCACACAAAAACAGGGGUGAUAAUCUCACUGCAACCGCUUUGAAACACCUAUGUUUUGUCUUCCUACUAAAAAAAAAAAACUGUUCAUAUACUACAU
Ictalurus punctatus (channel catfish) is the source of this 3493-nucleotide long non-coding RNA. Lineage: Eukaryota; Metazoa; Chordata; Actinopteri; Siluriformes; Ictaluridae. The record is from Ensembl.